GUGGGGAAUAUUGGACAAUGGGCGAAAGCCUGAUCCAGCCAUGCCGCGUGUGUGAAGAAGGUCUUCGGAUUGUAAAGCACUUUAAGUUGGGAGGAAGGGCAGUAAGUUAAUACCUUGCUGUUUUGACGUUACCGACAGAAUAAGCACCGGCUAACUUCGUGCCAGCAGCCGCGGUAAUACGAAGGGUGCAAGCGUUAAUCGGAAUUACUGGGCGUAAAGCGCGCGUAGGUGGUUUUGUAAGUUGGAGGUGAAAUCCCCGGGCUCAAACUGCGAACUGCCUCCAAAACUGCAUGACUAGAGUACGGUAGAGGGUAGUGGAAUUUCCUGUGUAGCGGUGAAAUGCGUAGAUAUAGGAAGGAACACCAGUGGCGAAGGCGACUACCUGGACUGAUACUGACACUGAGGUGCGAAAGCGUGGGGAGCAAACAGGAUUAGAAACCCCUGUAGUCC
Molecule: ribosomal RNA, 450 nt
Filed under: uncultured bacterium
Lineage: Bacteria
Description: partial 16S ribosomal RNA
Rfam family: Bacterial small subunit ribosomal RNA
Source: RNAcentral